CCGAGUUCUAAAGUCCCCACGCACCCACCCGGACUCAGAGUCUCCUCAGACGCCGAGAUGCGGGCCAUGGCGCCCCGAACCCUCCUCCUGCUGCUCUCGGGGGCCCUGGCCCCGACCGAGACCUGGGCCGGUGAGUGCGGGGUCGGGAGGGAAAGGGCCUCUGCGGAGAGGAGCGAGCGGACCGCAGGCGGGGGCGCAGGACCCGGGGAGCCGCGCCGGGAGGAGGGUCGGGCGGGUCUCAGCCCCUCCUCGCCCCCAGGCUCCCACUCCAUGAGGUAUUUCAGCACCGCCGUGUCCCGGCCCGGCCGCGGGGAGCCCCGCUUCAUCGCAGUGGGCUACGUGGACGACACCCAGUUCGUGCGGUUCGACAGCGACGCCGUGAGUCCGAGGGUGGAGCCGCUGGUGCCAUUGAUAGAGCAGGAGGGGCCGGAGUAUUGGGACCAGGAGACACAGAAAGCCAAGACCCAGGCACAGAAUGACCGAGUGAGCCUGCGGAACCUGCGCGGCUACUACAACCAGAGCGAGGACGGGUCUCACACCUGGCAGAGGAUGUAUGGCUGCGACGUGGGGCCCGACGGGCGCCUUCUCCGUGGGUAUUGCCAGUUCGCCUACGACGGCAAGGAUUACAUCGCCCUGAACGAGGACCUGAGCUCUUGGACCGCCGCGGACACCGCGGCUCAGAUCACCCAGCGCAAGUGGGAGGCGGCCCGUGAGGCGGAGCAGUUGAGAGCCUACCUGGAGGGCCUGUGCGUGGAGUCGCUCCGCAGAUACCUGGAGAACGGGAAGGAGACAUUGCAGCGCGCGGACUGCCCAAAGACACACGUGACCCACCACCCCGUCUCUGAACAUGAGACUAUCCUGAGAUGCUGGGCCCUGGGCUUCUACCCUGCGGAGAUCACACUGACCUGGCAGCGGGAUGGGGAGGACCAAACUCAGGACACCGAGCUUGUGGAGACCAGGCCAGCAGGAGAUGGAACCUUCCAGAAGUGGGCAGCGGUGGUGGUGCCUUCUGGAGAAGAGCAGAGAUACACAUGCCAUGUGCAGCACGAGGGGCUGCCGGAGCCCCUCAC
RNAcentral lists this small RNA (1070 nucleotides) under Pongo abelii (Sumatran orangutan). RNAcentral describes it as "retained intron". Lineage: Eukaryota; Metazoa; Chordata; Mammalia; Primates; Hominidae. The record is from RNAcentral.